AGAACGAACGCUGGCGGCAUGCCUAAUACAUGCAAGUCGAACGAACACUUCGGUGUUAGUGGCGCACGGGUGCGUAACGCGUGGGAAUCUGCCCUUGGGUUCGGAAUAACGGUUGGAAACGACUGCUAAUACCGGAUGAUGACGAAAGUCCAAAGAUUUAUCGCCCAGGGAUGAGCCCGCGUAGGAUUAGCUAGUUGGUGAGGUAAAGGCUCACCAAGGCGACGAUCCUUAGCUGGUCUGAGAGGAUGAUCAGCCACACUGGGACUGAGACACGGCCCAGACUCCUACGGGAGCAGCAGUAGGGAAUAUGGACAAUGGGCAAAGCCUGAUCCAGCAAUGCCGCGUGAGUGAUGAAGGCCUUAGGUGUAAAGCUCUUUACCGAGAUGAUAAUGACAGUAUCGGAGAAUAAGCCCGGCUAACUCCGUGCCAGCAGCCGC
Molecule: ribosomal RNA, 437 nt
Filed under: uncultured soil bacterium
Lineage: Bacteria
Description: bacterial SSU rRNA
Rfam family: Bacterial small subunit ribosomal RNA
Source: RNAcentral